CUUGACCAUCAACGAUGGACUGAGGAGUUUCCAUGUGGAUGUACAGUCCUCAAUAUAAGAAGCUUUCAACAGUCAUUCCUGUAGCUGGAAUCCCCAAAUCUUCACUUCAUUGACUCUGCAGCAUAACCAGUGGUGGCGCUGAGCUGUGCUAGCAGAAGGGGGCGGUACUUUCCCUCUGGACCCUGACUUGGGAGCCAAGUGAAUGAGACUCCAGACUCCAGCGCAGUCACUAAGGAGAAGCAGCUGUGGCAGCGGAGCAGCUGUGCGCCUUUCUUUCUGCCCAGAGUCCUGUUUUCCAUUACAUGGAAAGAAGCCAAGACCAUCUUUAGCCAGUGAAGGACUUAUGUAGCACUUCUUCUU
Long non-coding RNA from Acomys russatus (golden spiny mouse), 360 nucleotides. RefSeq lists it as uncharacterized. The transcript has 3 exons. The record is from RefSeq and is a predicted model, not a curated record. NCBI's taxonomy places the organism in Eukaryota, Metazoa, Chordata, Mammalia, Rodentia, Muridae.